CGUAACACGUAUGCAACCUACCUUUAACCGGGACAUAACCUCGAGAAAUUGAAGCUAAUAUCCCAUGUGAUUAUAUUUUGGCAUCAAGAUAUAAUUAAAAUUCAGAUGGUUAAAGAUGGGCAUGCGUCCCAUUAGCUAGUUGGUGAGGUAACGGCUCACCAAGGCCACGAUGGGUAGGGGUUCUGAGAGGAUGAUCCCCCACACUGGUACUGAGACACGGACCAG
RNAcentral lists this ribosomal RNA (225 nucleotides) under uncultured bacterium. Its description in RNAcentral is "partial 16S ribosomal RNA". It matches the Rfam family "Bacterial small subunit ribosomal RNA", at positions 109 to 334 of the family's 1533-position model. The record is from RNAcentral.